ACAGCUCCAACAUGGCUCCGCGUCUGUGCAGCAUCUCUGCGGCGGCGCGGCGGCUACUGGGGGGCCCAGGGCUUGGUGCCCGGGACACUGCGGCUGUGGCUGCGGCGCGGUUCUAUUCCAAGGACAAUGAAGGCAGCUGGUUCCGUUCCCUCUUCGUACACAAGGUGGAUCCUCGGAAGGAUGCCCACUCUACCCUGCUGUCUAAGAAGGAGACCAGCAACCUCUACAAGAUCCAGUUUCACAAUGUGAAGCCCGAGUGUCUGGAUGCCUACAACAGCCUGACGGAGGCCGUGCUGCCCAAGCUGCACCUGGAUGAGGACUACCCCUGCUCGCUUGUGGGCAACUGGAACACGUGGUACGGGGAGCAGGACCAGGCUGUACACCUGUGGCGAUUCUCAGGUGGCUACCCAGCCCUCAUGGACUGCAUGAACAAGCUCAAAAACAACAAGGAGUACCUGGAGUUCCGAAAGGAGCGGAGCCAGAUGCUGCUUUCCAGGAGGAACCAGAUGCUUCUCGAGUUCAGCUUCUGGAAUGAGCCACAGCCUCGAGCUGGCCCCAACAUCUACGAGCUGAGGACGUACAAGCUCAAGCCAGGAACCAUGAUCGAGUGGGGGAACAACUGGGCUCGGGCCAUCAAGUACCGGCAGGAGAACCAGGAAGCAGUGGGCGGCUUCUUCUCGCAGAUAGGAGAGCUCUACGUUGUGCACCAUCUCUGGGCCUAUAAGGACCUGCAGUCUCGGGAGGAGACCCGAAACGCUGCCUGGAGGAAGAGGGGCUGGGAUGAAAAUGUCUACUACACAGUCCCCCUGGUGCGACACAUGGAGUCUCGGAUCAUGAUCCCUUUGAAGAUCUCGCCUCUGCAGUGAUGCUGCUGCUGCCUCCCCCUCUCCAUCGGGGUAGCCAGGGACAAAGGGGCUUCCAGUCCUGCUGUCUUGGUUUCCUCUUGGAUCCUGUGGACUCUGGCGGGUAGUGCUCAGCUCAGACAAGGGAAAGCUGAAGGAUGAUGAGUUUCUGAGGACUUAUAGUUCUGCCCAGACCCUUCCCAUCUUCCCCACUCACCCCUUCCCCUGUGUUGGAAGCAGUUUUUAUUUUAAGUUCUCUGAAUGAAGAAUAGCAACCUUUUAUGUCUUCUUACGGUUCCCUCUAAGAUGACUCAUCUCAAGGCCAGCAAUCCACAGUCUCACCCUGGAAAUCCUCAGUUUAGCUUUAGCUGCACAAAAGGUAGUGUGUCCAGUGGUUAGAGGUGGGGUAGAAAGAGAGAAGGUCAUACCAGGCCAGGCUCUCACAAAUUCUCUGGUUUCCACUCAGCCACUGAGCCAAGUCCCUCCUCCUGGAGAAAAGCCUAGAACUGCCCCAAGAAGCAAAAGGGAAAACCCUCAAAUUAGCAAAGUCUGCUGGACAUCCACAUAUUCCACCCAAUAUUCUACACAGAAAGGCUGGGAAAGGGGAUGGGAGCUGGGAGGAUCUGGGGGAGGGAAAAAGAAUGGAACAGAAACUCAGAAGGUAGAACUUAGGACUCAGAACUUGUGUUGGAACUGCAGAAUUUGGAAUAUAGAAUCGAGAAGAUAGGAGUUCCCAUUAUGGCUCCGUGGAAACAAAUCUGACUAGUAUCCAAGAGGAUGCAGAUUUGAACCCUGGCCUCGCUCAGUGGGUUAAGGAUCUGGUGUUUCCAGAUGUGAUGGUGCUGUGGCGGAGAUCACAGAUGUGGCUGAGAUCCCAUGUGGCUGUGGCAUAGGUCAGUAGCUGUAGUUCUGAUUCGACCCCUAGCCUGGGAACCUCCAUAUGCUACAGGUGUAGCCCUAGAAAAAGACCAAAAAGAAUUGGGAAGAUUGAACAGAGGUGACGAGACCUCUUGGGGAGUAAGUGUAAUACAAGACAGUUGCAGAGAGGCCCAUCUAUUCCCCAGACAAUGAUGUUGAGAACUUGAGUGGUUCUAGCCCUUCUGUGCAGGCAGCGUCUCCUGCCCUCCUUACUGCCCUCUGCAGCCAGAGCUACUGGGCUAGGUACCAUAUUUCCCUCACUCUGCAUUCCUCUUCUCCCUCUUCACAUUCUAUCAGCCCGACCCUCAUUCUCCUGGGCCAUUGGGUAUGUGGAGUGGGGUCAGUGACUUUGGGGGCUUCCUCAGUGACACCCACACCUCAUGAACCUCUGGGUAGCUUGAUUCUGCCUCCCUUUCAGGAAAACUUAUGCUGGUGUUGAUGGAACCAAUUAAAAUAUUUACUAUAAACCACGGGGUCUUUUCUUCAUCUGCAAGGAAUUUUGGCAGGUGCCCAAGGCAGGGCUGGCUUCUCCACGUGGCUGAUCCACCCCAGUGGAGGGUUUUUUGUUUCCUGAAAUCCUAUCGAGGAGCAUCCUCCCACUAUGGCAGAAGGAACUGCACUAUAUAACCAGGGAUUCGGGACAUGUGUUUCUGCCUUCAGAUAAGUAGGACUUAGUAAACUCUAUCUGUACUCAUACCUGGGGUAGAAAAUGCUUGAAACUGUCAAAUGCUGCAUUAGAUUUGGGGCUCUACCCUAGGUAAAUGUGGCCUAAAAUGGGGAAAAUACCGAUCAAUCUUUGCGGGGGUGGGGGGAGGAGGCUGAAUGAAAUGGGCUUAAAACCCUCCCUGACUUGCUGCCCUCACUAGUGUGGGAUGUUAGGGUGGAUGUGAUGGUGAUUUAGAAUCCAGGUUAUGGAAGCAAAUCCACAGGGAUCCAGAUCUUAACACCACCACGCUGGGUUAUCCUGGGCAUGGGCAAAUUCAUUCAACACCUGGCAGAGCUCCCAUAGUUGUCGGACAUCGUUUUAGGCGCUGGGGAAAGAAUGAACGAGGCACAUAAGAGGCUUUGCCCUUGCAGCCUCGGUUUCCUAGUUUCAGGGGGCAGCAUGAGGCUGCUGGCUGGCUAGGACCCGCUCUGACAAACCAGGUGCCGCCUCCGCCGGCGUCCGCACCUCCUUGCUUCCCAGCAGAUACCAGCACAGCAGUCUGAGCCAGGACCCUUCGCGCUUCGCUUCCGGCCUCCGCGCCUCGCUUCCGGUCGACCGCUCCUUCCUUCCGCUUCUCUAUGGUGCGCGGUCCGCAGUCCUCCCGACGCCGGAAGUGGCUCGUUCACCGGGACGGAUUCUGGGCGCGUGCGGUGUUCAACAUUAUCGAUCACCUGUGGACCAUCAAAAGCCUGCUCCCAGGUCAUCUUUAUCGUCUUCCUCAGUGGAGUGCUUCCUGUGUUAAUGUCCACAAUAGCCCCAGAGCCAUGAAAUAGAGGCGUGGAGACUCCAUCUCGGGGCUUCUGUGACUCAACUUGAAUGAGGGCAUACAGAAUUUUCUGAGCCAGGGAUCAAACCAGAGCCACAGCAAUGCCAGAUCCUUUUAACCAACGGCGCAGGGCUGGGAAUUGAAUCCUCGACACCGCAGGGACAAUGCUGGAUCUUUAACUCUCUGUACCACAGUGGAAACUCCUGGUUCCCUUCUUUUAAAUUUCAGGUCUCUGCUGUUUCCUCCUGAUUUCUCCAAACAACCAUGUCAUCAGAAUCGAGCAAAAAACGGAAGCCCAAAGUGAUCCGGAGUGAUGGAGCUCCAGCUGAAGGGAAGCGUAAUCGUUCUGACACUGAGCAGGAAGGUAAAUACUACAGCGAGGAGGCUGAGGUGGACCUGCGGGACCCUGGCAGAGACUAUGAGCUGUACAAGUACACGUGUCAAGAGUUGCAGAGGCUCAUGGCUGAGAUCCAGGACCUGAAAAGCAGGGGAGGCAAGGAUGUGGCCAUUGAGAUUGAAGAUCGGAGGAUCCAGAGCUGUGUACAUUUCAUGACUCUAAAGAAGCUUAACCGAUUAGCCCACAUCAGGUUGAAGAAAGGAAGAGAUCAGACCCAUGAGGCCAAGCAGAAAGUGGAUGCCUAUCACCUGCAGCUCCAGAACCUGUUGUAUGAGGUGAUGCACCUGCAGAAGGAGAUCACCAAAUGUCUGGAGUUUAAGUCAAAGCAUGAAGAAAUUGACCUGGUCAGCUUGGAGGAGUUUUAUAAGGAGGCUCCUCCAGAUAUCAGUAAAGCCGAAGUCACCAUGGGAGACCCUCACCAGCAAACUCUUGCACGUCUGGACUGGGAGCUGGAGCAGCGGAAAAGGCUGGCAGAGAAGUACCGAGAGUGCUUAUCCAACAAGGAGAAGAUCCUCAAGGAGAUUGAGGUGAAGAAGGAGUACCUGAGCAGCCUCCAGCCCCGACUCAACAGCAUCAUGCAGGCUUCCCUCCCAGUGCAAGAGUACCUGUUUAUGCCCUUCGACCAGGCUCACAAGCAGUAUGAGACAGCCAGACACCUACCACCUCCCCUCUAUGUCCUCUUUGUCCAGGCCACUGCAUAUGGGCAGGCCUGUGAUAAGACGCUGUCUGUGGCGAUAGAAGGCAGCGUGGACGAAGCCAAGGCUCUAUUCAAGCCUCCUGAGGACUCCCAAGAUGACGAGAGCGACUCGGAUGCUGAGGAGGAACAGACCACGAAACGCCGGCGACCCACUCUGGGAGUUCAGCUGGACGACAAACGCAAGGAGAUGCUGAAGAGGCACCCGCUGUCCGUCAUGCUGGACCUGAAAUGCAAAGAUGACAGUGUCCUGCACCUGACUUUCUACUACCUCAUGAACCUCAACAUCAUGACAGUAAAAGCCAAAGUGACAACCGCCACAGAGCUGAUCACCCCCAUCAGUGCAGGUGACUUGCUGUCUCCUGACUCAGUCCUAAGCUGUCUGUAUCCUGGGGAUCAUGGAAAGAAAACUCCAAAUCCAGCCAAUCAGUAUCAGUUUGACAAAGUUGGCAUCCUGACUUUGAGAGACUACGUACUUGACCUAGGUCACCCCUAUUUGUGGGUGCAGAAGCUGGGUGGUCUCCACUUCCCCAAAGAGCAGCCCCAGCACACUGUGGUCGCUGACCACUCGCUGAGCGCCAGCCACAUGGAGACCACCAUGAAGCUGCUGAAGACCAGGGUGCAGUCCCGCCUGGCCCUCCACAAGCAGUUUGCCUCCCUGGAACAUGGCAUCGUGCCAGUUACCAGUGAUUGCCAGUACCUCUUCCCUGCAAAGGUCGUCUCUCGCCUGAUGAAGUGGGUGGCAAUUGCCCAUGAGGAUUACAUGGAGCUGCAUUUCACCAAAGACAUUGUGGAGGCGGGACUGGCCGGGGACACCAAUCUCUACUACAUGGCACUCGUGGAAAGGGGCACAGCUAAGCUCCAGGCGGCCGUGGUGCUGAACCCUGGCUACUCCUCCAUCCCGCCCAUUUUCCAGCUCUGUCUGAACUGGAAAGGGGAGAAAACCAACAGCAACGAUGACAAUAUUCGGGCCAUGGAGAGCGAGGUCAACGUUUGCUACAAAGAGCUGUGUGGCCCCCGGCCCAGCCACCAGCUCUUGACCAACCAGCUGCAGCGCCUGUGCGUGCUGUUGGACGUCUACCUGGAGACGGAGAGCCACGACGACAGUGUGGAGGGGCCCAAGGAAUUUCCCCAGGAGAAGAUGUGUCUGAGGCUUUUCAGGGGUCCCAGCAGGAUGAAGCCGUUUAAAUAUAACCAUCCUCAAGGAUUCUUCAGCCAUCGCUGACCUCCCACUUAGCUAUUGUCCGCCUCCAGACCCCAGUACUGCACUUCUUUCUGAUCUGGCACACAUGUGGCUCUUGAUAUUCUCCAAAGACAGGUUUUCUAUUUGUAGCCUAUUAAAGUGUCACCUGACCGAGUGG
This 5684-nucleotide long non-coding RNA is filed under the name Sus scrofa (pig). RNAcentral's name for it is "lncRNA (ENSSSCG00030042246.1)". Lineage: Eukaryota; Metazoa; Chordata; Mammalia; Artiodactyla; Suidae. The record is from RNAcentral.